GCGGCGUGGAUUAGGCAUGCAAGUCGAGCGGUAAGGCUCCUUCGGGAGUACACGAGCGGCGAAAGGGAGAGUAACGCGUGGGCACCUGCCCUUGGACCUGGGAUAGCCAUGGGAAACUGUGGGUAAUACCAGAUAAAGUCUCUGGACCAAAGGUGUGAUUCCGUCCGAGGAUGGGCCCGCGUCCUAUUAGCUUGUUGGUGAGGUAACGGCUCACCAAGGCUUCGAUGGGUACCGGGUGUGAGAGCAUGGCCCGGCUCACUGGGACUGAGACACUGCCCAGACACCUACGGGUGGCUGCAGUCGAGAAUCUUCGGCAAUGGACGAAAGUCUGACCGAGCAACGCCGCGUGCGGGAAGAAGGCCCUCGGGUCGUAAACCGCUGUCAAUUGGGAGGAAAUGUAUGGGGGCUAUCCCCUGUAUUUGACCUAUCUUUGGAGGAAGGACGGGCUAAGUUCGUGCCAGCAGCCGCGGUAAGACGAACCGUCCAAACGUUAUUCGGUAUCACUGGGCUUAAAGGGUGCGUAGGCGGCCUGGCAAGUUGGGUGUGAAAUCCCUCGGCUCAACCGAGGAAUGGCGCCCAAAACUGCCAGGCUUGAGGAAGGUAGAGGUUAGCGGAACUAGCGGUGGAGCGGUGAAAUGCAUUGAUAUCGCUGGGAACACCAGUGGCGAAGGCGGCUAACUGGACCUUUUCUGACGCUGAGGCACGAAAGCUAGGGGAGCGAACGGGAUUAGAUACCCCGGUAGUCCUAGCUGUAAACGAUGAGCACUUGGUCGGGGAACCUCCCAUAGUUUCUCGGCCGU
Molecule: ribosomal RNA, 800 nt
Filed under: uncultured bacterium
Lineage: Bacteria
Description: bacterial SSU rRNA
Rfam family: Bacterial small subunit ribosomal RNA
Source: RNAcentral